CACCNGUGGCGAAGGCGACUUUCUGGACGAAAACUGACGCUGAGGCGCGAAAGCCAGGGGAGCGAACGGGAUUAGAUACCCCGGUAGUCCUGGUCGUAAACGUUGGGUACUAGGUGUAGGAGGUAUCGACCCCUUCUGUGCCGGAGUUAACGCAAUAAGUACCCCGCCUGGGGAGUACGACCGCAAGGUUGAAACUCAAAGGAAUUGACGGGGGCCCGCACAAGCGGUGGAGUAUGUGGUUUAAUUCGACGCAACGCGAAGAACCUUACCAGGUCUUGACAUUGAUGGACAGAACCAGAGAUGGUUCCUCUUCUUCGGAAGCCAGAAAACAGGUGGUGCACGGUUGUCGUCAGCUCGUGUCGUGAGAUGUUGGGUUAAGUCCCGCAACGAGCGCAACCCCUAUCUUAUGUUGCCAGCACUUUGGGUGGGGACUCAUGAGAGACUGCCGCAGACAAUGCGGAGGAAGGCGGGGAUGACGUCAAAUCAUCACGCCCCUUAUGACCUGGGCUACACACGUACUACAAUGGGAGUAAAUAGACGGAAGCGAGAUCGCGAGAUGGAGCAAACCCGAGAAACACUCUCUCAGUUCGGAUCGUAGGCUGCAACUCGCCUGCGUGAAGUCGGAAUCGCUAGUAAUCGCAGGUCAGCAUACUGCGGUGAAUACGUUCCCGGGCCUUGUACACGCCGCCCGUCACACCACGAAAGUCGGAAGUGCCCAAAGCCNGUGGGGUAACCUUC
RNAcentral lists this ribosomal RNA (738 nucleotides) under uncultured bacterium. RNAcentral describes it as "bacterial SSU rRNA". It matches the Rfam family "Bacterial small subunit ribosomal RNA", at positions 707 to 1443 of the family's 1533-position model. The record is from RNAcentral.